CUUCACCGAGCCCAGCCACAGGGGACGGUCGGGGUCGCGGUCGCGCCCGUACGUGGCCAGCAGCGCCUGCGCCUC
This 75-nucleotide antisense RNA is filed under the name Krasilnikovia cinnamomea. RNAcentral's name for it is "ASpks TB sRNA". It matches the Rfam family "ASpks TB sRNA". Lineage: Bacteria; Bacillati; Actinomycetota; Actinomycetes; Micromonosporales; Micromonosporaceae. The record is from Rfam by way of RNAcentral.